Molecule: ribosomal RNA, 413 nt
Filed under: Enterobacter hormaechei
Lineage: Bacteria; Pseudomonadati; Pseudomonadota; Gammaproteobacteria; Enterobacterales; Enterobacteriaceae
Description: partial 23S ribosomal RNA
Rfam family: Bacterial large subunit ribosomal RNA
Source: RNAcentral
CGAAGGGGGGACGGAGAAGGCUAUGUCAGCCGGGCGACGGUUGUCCCGGUUUAAGCAUGUAGGCGGAGGUUCCAGGUAAAUCCGGUACCUUAUUAACGCUGAGGUGUGAUGACGAGGCACUACGGUGCUGAAGUGAUAAAUGCCCUGCUUCCAGGAAAAGCCUCUAAGCAUCAGGUAACACGAAAUCGUACCCCAAACCGACACAGGUGGUCAGGUAGAGAAUACCAAGGCGCUUGAGAGAACUCGGGUGAAGGAACUAGGCAAAAUGGUGCCGUAACUUCGGGAGAAGGCACGCUGAUGUGUAGGUGAAGCCCCUGCGGGCGGAGCUGAAAUCAGUCGAAGAUACCAGCUGGCUGCAACUGUUUAUUAAAAACACAGCACUGUGCAAACACGAAAGUGGACGUAUACGGUGU